AUCUAUUUUAUAAAUCUAUUAUAUAUAUAUUUAUAUAUAAGGGGCGGAUGUAGCCAAGUGGAUCAAGGCAGUGGAUUGUGAA
This 82-nucleotide transfer RNA is filed under the name Aegonychon purpurocaeruleum. Its description in RNAcentral is "partial tRNA-His". The record is from RNAcentral. Lineage: Eukaryota; Viridiplantae; Streptophyta; Magnoliopsida; Boraginales; Boraginaceae.